Molecule: ribosomal RNA, 771 nt
Filed under: uncultured fungus
Lineage: Eukaryota; Fungi
Description: eukaryotic LSU rRNA
Rfam family: Eukaryotic large subunit ribosomal RNA
Source: RNAcentral
AGCAUAUAACUAAGCGGAGGAAAAGAAACUAACAAGGAUUCCNCUCAGUAACGGCGAGUGAAGCGGGAACAGCUCAAACUUUUAAUCUGCCCGCCACGCGGGCCGAAUUGUAAUCUAGAGAAGUCACGGCUGGGAGGCGCGCCGUAUAAGUCAUCCAGGAACGGUGCGUCAUAGAGGGUGAGAACCCCGUACAUGACGGCGCCGCCUCCCUUNCGCUGGGCUUUCCAAGAGUCGGGUUGCUUGGGAAUGCAGCUCUAAGUGGGAGGUAAACUCCUUCUAAAGCUAAAUAUCGGCGCGAGACCGAUAGCGAACAAGUACCGUGAGGGAAAGGUGAAAAGAACUUUGAAAAGAGAGUUAAAAAGUGCUUGAAAUUGUUAAAAGGGAAGGCGCUCGGCCCAGUGAUGUGGGCGGCGGAUUCAGAAGUCGUGGCGUGCCUCGGCGUGCGUGGGUACCGUGAGGGCCCUGCGCGCCGUUCGGUGUGCUCCGGUGACGUACUUCCGCCGAACGCAGGCCAGCAUCGAUUCGGUGGCCGGAACAGAGGCGUACGCUAGGUAGGCCGGAGGGCAACCUUUUGGCCGAUGAGCGGCGCUGCCGCCGGCUGUCGGAUCGAGGCCCCGUGACGGGGAGUGGCGCGCGCCCUGGUCUCACGACCGGGCGAAGUACGCCGGGCGGACUAGGCGUGUCGGCGGGCGGGAGCAGCAUGCUGACCCCGAACGUUAUGGACGCGCGUCUGGUCGCCGGCGCUUCGGCGCAGCCGUGAUGCUGGCGAAA